Paramisgurnus dabryanus is the source of this 760-nucleotide long non-coding RNA. RefSeq lists it as uncharacterized. Lineage: Eukaryota; Metazoa; Chordata; Actinopteri; Cypriniformes; Cobitidae. The record is from RefSeq and is a predicted model, not a curated record.
UGCUGUAAAAAAACGGGGAAUUUUGGACAGUAAUUUACCGUUUCUCAUAAAUACAGUUGAAUACUGUAAAUAAACAUUAAUAUGACAAACAAAAUAAUAACAGCAAGCUCCUGUUCAGUCUUACGGGAUAAUACAGUAUUUUUUGGUCUGGUCAGGCAUGUCAGACAUGUGACGAGCUCAUCUGCAACCAUGAGUAAAACUGAUUUAACUACACUGUUUUUCUGCAUUUUAUUAUACGAGAAGGAAGCAGAAUUAAGGACUAUCUAUCCAUUUUCACUCCGAUUGUGACCCUACCAGCACUGAGACGGACGACGAAUUCACUUGUUUUUUACUCCUCGCCUGUAUAUCAAGUUGCUGGUGAUGAAGUAACAUUUGGAGGUUGGAUGAUCAGCAGUGAAAACAUCAUCAUCUGUGAAGGCAAGAUGAAGCUGCGAGGACACUGGAGUUUGUUCAAAGAUGCUUAAUUGGUGUGAACCCUAAGAGGGGAACAAAAGCCAGGCAGGUGAAGGUGUCCAAGAAGACAGGAAAGCUUGUCCAGAAAAAUGCAGCAAUGGAGUGCAGAGUGGCCACCCUCAUCAAAAAUUUCAUGGACUUUGAGUGGCUUUCACAUUGUAUUCUGCAGUGUUGUGAUAUUUAUGUGACAUCACAGCAUUAUGUUUUAUUCAGCCCAGUCUCAUUAGUGAGGCAGAAACUGACAUUUAAGAAUGCACUGAAUUUUGUUAUAUUUAAUAAAAACAGUGUUUUAUCAUCAUCCUUUGUU